AAGAGAAAUCGAGUCUGAAGAGGGCGAAUAAGUCAUAUGAAAUAGACCCGAAACCGAGUGACCUAUCCAUGUCCAGGCUGAAGCUUGAGUAAAAUCAAGUGGAGGGCCGAACUCAUAGACGUUAAAAAGUCUCGGGAUGAGGUGUGGAUAGCGGAGAAAUUCCAAUCGAACUCGGAGAUAGCUGGUUCUCCUCGAAAUAGUUUUAGGACUAGCCUUGUUUCGUAGCAUUUGGGGGUAGAGCACUGAAUGAGGUAGGGGCCAACACGGUUACUGAACUCUAUCAAACUACGAAUACCAAAUGUGUAAGAACAAGAGUCAGACUGCGGGAGCUAAGUUCCGUGGUCAAAAGGGAAAGAGCCCAGAUCGUCAAUUAAGGUCCCAAAGAUAUAGUUAAGUGGAAAACGAUGUGAUUUUGCGUAAACAACCAGGAUGUUGGCUUAGAAGCAGCCAUUCAUUCAAAGAGUGCGUAAUAGCUCACUGGUCGAGUGAAGUUGCGCGGAAAAUUACCGGGGCUAAACUAUACACCGAAAUUGCGGAUUUGCAUAGAAAUAUGUAAGUGGUAGAGGAGCAUUCUAUAGUAGGACGAAGCAUAAUCGAAAGGAUAUGUGGACGAGAUAGAAGAGAGAAUGCCGGAAUAAGUAGCGAAAGCAUGGUGAGAAUCCAUGCCAUCGAAAGUCUAAGGUUUCCUGGGGAAGGUUCGUCCGCCCAGGGUAAGUCGGGACCUAAGGAGAGGCCGAAAAGCGUAUCCGAUGGACAGCAGGUAGAAAUUCCUGCACUACGUAAUACUUAAAAGACAUAAAUGACACAGGAGUGGAAGAUAAGCGAGGAAGAGGAAAGACUCGUAUCGAAAGAUAUAGUGAAAAUUAAAGUAACGAAUUAUCAAGAAGCUAAUGGCGAGAAAAGUUUAUGGAUAUUGUAUUAAGUACCCGUACCGCAAACCGACACAGGUAGAUGAGGAGAAGAUCCUAAGAUGAGCGAGAGAAGCAUUGUUAAGGAACUCGGCAAACUGACCCCGUAACUUCGGAAUAAGGGGUGCUGGAGUAAAAUCCAGUCGCAGAGAAUAGUCCCAAGCAACUGUUUAACAAAAACACAGGUUUCUGCUAAAUCGAAAGAUGAAGUAUAGGAGCUGACACCUGCCCAGUGCUGGAAGGUUAAGGGAAAGAGUUAGACGCAAGUCGAAGCUUAGAACUAAAGCCCCAGUGAACGGCGGCCGUAACUAUAACGGUCCUAAGGUAGCGAAAUUCCUUGUCAGGUAAGUUCUGACCCGCACGAAAGGUGUAAUGAUUUGGGAGCUGUCUCGACAAUGUACUCGGCGAAAUUGUAGUACUAGUGAAGAUGCUAGUUACCUGCGACAAGACAGAAAGACCCCAUGGAGCUUUACUGCAGCUUGAUACUGGGUUUCGGUAAUUUAUGUACAGGAUAGGUGGGAUGCUAAGAAGUAUGUGCGCCAGCGCAUAUGGAGCAGACGUUGGGAUACCACCCUUAAAUUACUGGAAUUCUAACUAUAAGUCCUAAGCGGGCUUGAGGACAAUGUCAGGCGGGCAGUUUGACUGGGGCGGUCGCCUCCUAAAGAGUAACGGAGGCGCGCAAAGGUUUCCUCAGCGCGGACAGAAAUCGCGCGAAAGAGUGCAAAGGCAGAAGGAAGCUUAACUGAGAGACAGACAUGUCGAUCAGAUACGAAAGUAGGUCUUAGUGAUCCGGUGGUUGUAAGUGGAAAUGCCAUCGCUCAACGGACAAAAGUUACCCUGGGGAUAACAGGCUUAUCUCCCCCAAGAGUUCACAUCGACGGGGAGGUUUGGCACCUCGAUGUCGGCUCAUCACAUCCUGGAGCGGAAGUACGUUCCAAGGGUUGGGCUGUUCGCCCAUUAAAGUGGUACGCGAGCUGGGUUCAGAACGUCGUGAGACAGUUCGGUCCUUAUCUGUCGCAGGCGAAGGAUAUUUGAAGGGAGUUGACCUUAGUACGAGAGGACCAGGUUGAAGGAACCGAUGGUGCACCAGUUGUACUACCAAGUGCAUAGCUGGAUAGCUAAGUUCCGAAGGGAUAAACGCUGAAAGCAUCUAAGUGUGAAGCCCACCCUAAGAUAAGAUAUCCCAUAUCGAAAGAUAGU
Molecule: ribosomal RNA, 2108 nt
Filed under: human gut metagenome
Description: bacterial LSU rRNA
Rfam family: Bacterial large subunit ribosomal RNA
Source: RNAcentral